Molecule: ribosomal RNA, 507 nt
Filed under: uncultured bacterium
Lineage: Bacteria
Description: bacterial SSU rRNA
Rfam family: Bacterial small subunit ribosomal RNA
Source: RNAcentral
UGGGGAAUUUUCCGCAAUGGGCGAAAGCCUGACGGAGCAAUACCGCGUGAGGGAAGACUGCCUAUGGGUUGUAAACCUCUUUUUUCAGGGAGGAAUAAAAUGACGUGUACCUGAAGAAUAAGCAUCGGCUAACUCCGUGCCAGCAGCCGCGGUAAGACGGAGGAUGCAAGUGUUAUCCGGAAUCACUGGGCGUAAAGCGUCUGUAGGUGGUUUAAUAAGUCAACUGUUAAAUCUUGAGGCUCAACUUCAAAAUCGCAGUCGAAACUAUUAGACUAGAGUAUAGUAGAGGUAAAGGGAAUUUCCAGUGGAGCGGUGAAAUGCGUAGAUAUUGGAAAGAACACCGAUGGCGAAAGCACUUUACUGGGCUAUUACUAACACUCAGAGACGAAAGCUAGGGUAGCAAAUGGGAUUAGAUACCCCAGUAGUCCUAGCCGUAAACUAUGGAUACUAGAUGUUGAACAGAUCGACCUGUGCAGUAUCAAAGCUAACGCGUAAGUUCCCGCCUGA